Molecule: ribosomal RNA, 465 nt
Filed under: uncultured Klebsiella sp.
Lineage: Bacteria; Pseudomonadati; Pseudomonadota; Gammaproteobacteria; Enterobacterales; Enterobacteriaceae
Description: bacterial SSU rRNA
Rfam family: Bacterial small subunit ribosomal RNA
Source: RNAcentral
CCUACGGGUGGCUGCAGUGGGGAAUAUUGCACAAUGGGCGCAAGCCUGAUGCAGCCAUGCCGCGUGUGUGAAGAAGGCCUUCGGGUUGUAAAGCACUUUCAGCGGGGAGGAAGGCGUUAAGGUUAAUAACCUUGUCGAUUGACGUUACCCGCAGAAGAAGCACCGGCUAACUCCGUGCCAGCAGCCGCGGUAAUACGGAGGGUGCAAGCGCUAAUCGGAAUUACUGGGCGUAAAGCGCACGCAGGCGGUCUGUCAAGUCGGAUGUGAAAUCCCCGGGCUCAACCUGGGAACUGCAUUCGAAACUGGCAGGCUAGAGUCUUGUAGAGGGGGGUAGAAUUCCAGGUGUAGCGGUGAAAUGCGUAGAGAUCUGGAGGAAUACCGGUGGCGAAGGCGGCCCCCUGGACAAAGACUGACGCUCAGGUGCGAAAGCGUGGGGAGCAAACAGGAUUAGAUACCCCAGUAGUC